This is a long non-coding RNA of Musa acuminata AAA Group (dessert banana), 841 nucleotides long. RefSeq lists it as uncharacterized. NCBI's taxonomy places the organism in Eukaryota, Viridiplantae, Streptophyta, Magnoliopsida, Zingiberales, Musaceae. The transcript has 3 exons. The record is from RefSeq and is a predicted model, not a curated record.
GUCCCCCUUGGGAUUCUCAGACGCCUCCGCACACGCACGCACGAUUCGAGAACUCCGCACAAGCGGUAGGAAGGAAGGAAACAAGGAAAAAGGGUAGCAAGGAGCAGAGACAAAGGAGGAAGAAGAACAAGGUUGCAGAGAGCGUCUGAUCUCCCAGGUCAAGGAUAUUUAUCUAACAAAUAAAAGCUAGCCGUUCCACAAUCUGAAAGAGUCUAGAGAUUCUGGGGAAAAUAAUAGGAAGAAGGCUGCUUACAGUAACUUCAUCAGUCGAAUUCGGUAGUUGUUUCAUCAUGUGAGGGUGGCACAUCGCAGCAAAUCCUGCACGCCUUACUGAAAAUCUCUGACUAGUGUAUACUGGCGGCCAUGGCCACCACCGUCCCACCAUUCCGCAUCGUAAGAUGUCCAAGAUGCAAGAAGCUUCUUACUGAAUUUGCCAAUGUUCCCGUGUACCAGUGUGGCGAAUGUGGCACGACUCUGCGAGCAAAGCACUACAAUGCUACCAGGAAAGAUAUCAUCGUCCCACUGCCGGAGAACCGACCAGAUUGUGGCUCCAUGGACAAUGGAUUGCAAUCUAAGAAUGAAACGGCUGUUUGUGCAACAAAUGAUCGAGUACAGAGUGCGGACUCUCCAAAUCCACAAUCAUCUUCUGUGUUGCCAGAAUUAAUGUCUGAUCUCCGAGACAUUAAUGGCUGUUUGUGCAACAAUGCUAUGGCUGUUUGUGCAAAAUGCUAUGGUUCUUACUUCUUACAUAUGGUUUCUGAAUUUAUUCAGAAGUAAUUCACCGAGACAGUGCACCUUUUUUCCGAUUUCUUCUAUAAAUACCAUAAGUAAAGUGCACCUA